UUCCGUCAGCCAAGUUGGAUAGAGUUAACGGAAUGACUCAAUAACACAAAUUUGACAAGUUUUAAAACUCGAUUGCACUUUUUGCAACUUUUAGGACUUAAUUACAUUUUCGUGAUAAAUUUUAAGAUUUUUAGUGCACUUAUCCCAAUUAUGUUUAAAGAAAGCAACUACUUGCCCCUAAAUUAACUUCAUUGAAAGAUUGAUAUGAUCAACGAACCGUAGAUUUUGAUUAUCCGUUUCCUUUUCCUCUCAUGACGGUGCAGCUACCACAUGCCUGGGUUCUGCCUGGACAGCCUUUUAUUUUGUCACUAGAACAUGUGAAUUUGCUUCAUUUGUGUUGGGAAUAAAUUAAUGCUUAGACUUUCUACCCUUUCAUAUGUUGUUGUGAUGUUCAGCAUCGUUCUAUUUUAAUUUCAUGCAUUAUACAAAAUAAAUUGCCGAAGGUCCGCAUAAAAUACAAGGCAUCGGUGCUGGCUUCAUCCCUGGAGUGCUUGAUGUGAAAUUACUUGAUGAAGUUGUUCAAGUAUCAAGUGAAGAAGCUAUUGAAACUGCCAAGCUUCUUGCAGUGAAGGAGGGUUUGCUGGUUGGAAUAUCGUCGGGUGCAGCUGCUGCAGCUGCAAUUAAUAUUGCGAAGAGGCCAGAAAAUUCUGGAAAGCUCAUUGUGGUGGUCUUCCCGAGCUUUGGAGAGCGUUAUUUGUCCACUGUGCUGUUUCAAUCCGAGAAGCAGGAGGCAGAGAAUAUGUUCUAUGAACCUUGACUAAUUUCCUCAAUGUGUUGACAUACUUUGAUUUGGUUUAAUGGACACAUCAAGAAGAAAUUCCAGCCGGCACAUUCUGAUGAAGAAUUGUCCUCUGUGACAAGUACACAAUAACAAGCUACGGGGACAUGUAUGUUUCUUUUUGUUUCCCCGCUUCAGUUUUUUUUCUUUCCUUGUGCAAAUAAAACUGAUCAGGCUGGCCGCGGUGUGUAAUGUUUGUACUGUUCUCUUCCGACCAUGUAAACUUUCGUGUGAACUUUCAUAAUCAUCUUGUAAGUAUGAUCUUCUGCGUUCGGUGAAGGGGAAAGGUGACGAUUCAGAGUUCGGAUUUA
Molecule: long non-coding RNA, 1089 nt
Organism: Syzygium oleosum
Lineage: Eukaryota; Viridiplantae; Streptophyta; Magnoliopsida; Myrtales; Myrtaceae
Exons: 4
Source: RefSeq, a predicted model, not a curated record